AGUAAAAUAAUAUAAAUAAAGUAUAGUUCGUUUACACUGAACAUGUUGGCAAAAAAGCUGUUUUACUU
This 68-nucleotide transfer RNA is filed under the name Mytilus californianus (California mussel). RNAcentral describes it as "tRNA-Val". Lineage: Eukaryota; Metazoa; Mollusca; Bivalvia; Mytilida; Mytilidae. The record is from RNAcentral.